UGAGUUUAAUAAUUCACCAUGUAAAAUUAUUUGAUGAACCUCCGUAACAAAAAAAAAAAUGUUUUUUUAAAUGAAAUAAAUGUUUUUUUCCCAUCAGGAGCCAUUUUCGACCUGGAUUUGAAUCAGAAUCUGAAUCUGGAUCUGAAUCUGGAUCUGGAUCUGAAUCUGGAUCUGAAUCUGGAUCUGAAUCUGGAUUUGAAUCAGAAUCUGAAUCUGGAUCUGAAUCUGAAUCUGGAUCUGAAUCUGAAUCUGAAUCUGGAUCUGGAUCUGGAUCUGAAUCAGGAUCUGGAUCUGAAUCUGAAUCUGGAUCUGAAUCUGGAUCCAGCUGUGUGUCCUUCAGGAGUGACAAGUCAAAGGACUUUAAUCCUGACUUCAAGUCCAUCAGUCCAGGAGUGAAACAGAGCCAUUUUCGACCUGGAUUUGAAUCAGAAUCUGAAUCUGGAUCUGAAUCUGGAUCUGGAUCUGAAUCUGGAUCUGAAUCUGGAUCUGAAUCUGGAUUUGAAUCAGAAUCUGAAUCUGGAUCUGAAUCUGAAUCUGGAUCUGAAUCUGGAUCUGAAUCUGGAUCCAGCUGUGUGUCCUUCAGGAGUGACAAGUCAAAGGACUUUAAUCCUGACUUCAAGUCCAUCAGUCCAGGAGUGAAACAGAGCCAUUUUCGACCUGGAUCUGAAUCUGGAUCUGGAUCUGGAUCUGAAUCAGGAUUUGAAUCUGAACCUGGAUCUGAAUCUGGAUCCAGCUGUGUGUCCUUCAGGAGUGACAAGUCAAAGGACUUUAAUCCUGACUUCAAGUCCAUCAGUCCAGGAGUGAAACAGUAAGUGUUUGUCAGAGUUAAAGGAGGCUGGAUAAUAGUUCAGAUGAUCAAUAGUUUUCAGAUAAAUGAUUGAGAUCUGGUUCAGUUUUUGAUCUCUCU
Molecule: long non-coding RNA, 907 nt
Filed under: Oryzias javanicus (javanese ricefish)
Lineage: Eukaryota; Metazoa; Chordata; Actinopteri; Beloniformes; Adrianichthyidae
Description: lncRNA (ENSOJAG00000020883.1)
Source: RNAcentral